Molecule: ribosomal RNA, 398 nt
Filed under: uncultured bacterium
Lineage: Bacteria
Description: partial 16S ribosomal RNA
Rfam family: Bacterial small subunit ribosomal RNA
Source: RNAcentral
AUACGUAGGGUGCGAGCGUUGUCCGGAAUUACUGGGCGUAAAGAGCUCGUAGGUGGUUUGUCGCGUCGUCUGUGAAAUUCCGGGGCUUAACUCCGGGCGUGCAGGCGAUACGGGCAUAACUUGAGUACUGUAGGGGAGACUGAAAUUCCUGGUGUAGCGGUGAAAUGCGCAGAUAUCAGGAGGAACACCGGUGGCGAAGGCGGGUCUCUGGGCAGUAACUGACGCUGAGGAGCGAAAGCAUGGGUAGCGAACAGGAUUAGAUACCCUGGUAGUCCAUGCCGUAAACGGUGGGCGCUAGGUGUAGGGGUCUUCCACGACUUCUGUGCCGUAGCUAACGCAUUAAGCGCCCCGCCUGGGGAGUACGGCCGCAAGGCUAAAACUUAAAGGAAUUGACGGGG